GGCGGGGUAGCUCAGCUGGUUAGAGCACGCGCUUCAUAAGCGCGGGGUCGACGGUUCAAGCCCGUCCCCCGCUA
This 74-nucleotide transfer RNA is filed under the name Elusimicrobiota bacterium. RNAcentral's name for it is "Elusimicrobia bacterium (wastewater metagenome) tRNA-Met". It matches the Rfam family "tRNA". Rfam says of the family: Transfer RNA (tRNA) molecules are approximately 80 nucleotides in length. Their secondary structure includes four short double-helical elements and three loops (D, anti-codon, and T loops). The record is from RNAcentral. Lineage: Bacteria; Pseudomonadati; Elusimicrobiota.